RNAcentral lists this ribosomal RNA (111 nucleotides) under Scophthalmus maximus (turbot). Lineage: Eukaryota; Metazoa; Chordata; Actinopteri; Pleuronectiformes; Scophthalmidae. The record is from RNAcentral.
GCUUACGGCCACACCGCCUGGUUCACGCCGGAGUUGACGGAAGCUAAGAUAGGUUGGGCCUGGUUAGUACUUGGAUGGGAGACCGCCUGGGAAUACCAGGUGCUGUAAGCU